AUUGAACGCUGGCGGCAGGCCUAACACAUGCAAGUCGAGCGAGCGGCGGAAGGGUGAGUCAUGUAUGGGGACUGCCCGAUAGAGGGGGAUAAAUCCUGGACACGGUAGCUAAUACCGCAUACUAUCGGAUAACCCAUAUGGGAUUAGGUAGUAGGUGAGGUAAUGGCUCACGUAGGCGACGCUCCCUAGCUGGUCUGAGAGGAUGAGCAGCCACACUGGGACUGAGACACGGCCCAGACGCCUACGGAGGCAGCAGUGGUGAAUAUUGCACAAUGGGCGCAAGCCUGAUGCAGCCAUGCCGCGUGUAUGAAGAAGGCCCUAGGGUUGUAAAGUACUUUCAGUCGGGAGGCGUUACCGACAGAAGAAGCACCGGCUAACUCCGUGCCAGCAGCCGCGGUAAUAC
This 403-nucleotide ribosomal RNA is filed under the name uncultured bacterium. RNAcentral describes it as "partial 16S ribosomal RNA". It matches the Rfam family "Bacterial small subunit ribosomal RNA", at positions 30 to 526 of the family's 1533-position model. The record is from RNAcentral.